RNAcentral lists this ribosomal RNA (254 nucleotides) under uncultured bacterium. Its description in RNAcentral is "partial 16S ribosomal RNA". It matches the Rfam family "Bacterial small subunit ribosomal RNA", at positions 524 to 776 of the family's 1533-position model. The record is from RNAcentral.
UACGUAGGGGGCAAGCGUUGUCCGGAUUUAUUGGGCGUAAAGAGCUCGUAGGUGGUUCGGUAAGUCGGAUGUGAAAUCUCCAGGCUCAACCUGGAGGGGUCAUUCGAUACUGCCGUGACUAGAGGUCGGUAGGGGAGUGUGGAAUUCCUGGUGGAGCGGUGAAAUGCGCAGAUAUCAGGAGGAACACCCGUAGUGAAGGCGGCACUCUGGGCCGAUACUGACACUGAGGAGCGAAAGCGUGGGGAGCGAACAGG